GCAACCCGCCUGCACGAAGCCGGAGUUGCUAGUAAUCGCGAAUCAGAAUGUCGCGGUGAAUGCGUUCCCGGGUCUUGUACACACCGCCCGUCACACCAUGGAAGUUGGGGGUGCCCAAAGCCGGCAAGCAAAUAUGCUGUCUAAGGCAAAACCAAUGACUGGGGUGAAGUCGUAACAAGGUAUC
This 184-nucleotide ribosomal RNA is filed under the name uncultured bacterium. Its description in RNAcentral is "partial 16S ribosomal RNA". It matches the Rfam family "Bacterial small subunit ribosomal RNA", at positions 1307 to 1500 of the family's 1533-position model. The record is from RNAcentral.